AUACGUAGGGUGCGAGCGUUGUCCGGAAUUACUGGGCGUAAAGAGCUCGUAGGUGGUUUGUCGCGUCGUCUGUGAAAUUCCGGGGCUUAACUCCGGGCGUGCAGGCGAUACGGGCAUAACUUGAGUACUGUAGGGGAGACUGGAAUUCCUGGUGUAGCGGUGAAAUGCGCAGAUAUCAGGAGGAACACCGGUGGCGAAGGGGGGUCUCUGGGCAGUAACUGACGCUGAGGAGCGAAAGCGUGGGUAGCGAACAGGAUUAGAUACCCUGGUAGUCCAUGCCGUAAACGGUGGGCGCUAGGUGUAGGGGUCUUCCACGACUUCUGUGCCGUAGCUAACGCAUUAAGCGCCCCGCCUGGGGAGCACGGCCGCAAGGCUAAAACUUAAAGGAAUUGACGGGG
Molecule: ribosomal RNA, 398 nt
Filed under: uncultured bacterium
Lineage: Bacteria
Description: partial 16S ribosomal RNA
Rfam family: Bacterial small subunit ribosomal RNA
Source: RNAcentral